Molecule: transfer RNA, 64 nt
Filed under: Tetrastichus howardi
Lineage: Eukaryota; Metazoa; Arthropoda; Insecta; Hymenoptera; Eulophidae
Description: tRNA-Tyr
Source: RNAcentral
AGUAAAGUGUCUGAUUAAAGUAAUAAAUUGUAAAUUUAUUUAUAGAAUAAUAUUCUCUUUACUA